Oncorhynchus tshawytscha (Chinook salmon) is the source of this 2574-nucleotide long non-coding RNA. NCBI's taxonomy places the organism in Eukaryota, Metazoa, Chordata, Actinopteri, Salmoniformes, Salmonidae. The record is from Ensembl.
UGAAAGUGAAAGGGUGUUGUCUAACAUAGGCUAGAUAGGUUAACCUACACGACAUAUUGUUCUGCAGUCCCUAUACGUUUUCUUCAAGGUUCAAGCAUUUCAACUACUCCUGUGAAAAAUAAUAACCGGAGAAGUACCACUGCGUGUGGAACCAUCACAGACGUUUCUGAAGUGAAGAUGGGGAAGGCGGGGGGGAAAUACUACCAAGCUGUUCUAAACCAAGAGGAUGGGCCCAUGGUCAUUCUCAUUUUGGAUCUAGAGAAACGAAAUAACUUUCUAGGAGCAGAGAAGAGAAGGUCUUCUGUAAAGUUGAAGAGAAUCUCAUUCGAGAAACUUGGAAUAAACAAGUACCAAGAGGGGAUAAAGUUCACAAACAAAUCCAAAUUGACUUACACAAGAGCCAAAAACACUAUAAAGAUGGAACCCACUGCUGAUGAAAAAGAAUAAACACAUUUUUUUUUAAACUAGAAUGACAUUUUAAGGAUGACCUACUGACCAGACCAGAGGCAAUUCAUUAACUACCUAGCCUACAUUAUGUAAAUACAGUGCCUUCAGAAAGUAUUCACAUCGCUUAACUUUUUCCACAUUUAGUUGUAUUACAAGGUGGGAUUAAAAUUGAUUUGUCAUUUUUUGUCAGUGACCUACACACAAUCCUCUGUAGUGUCAAAGUGGAAGAAAAAUUCGAACUUUUGUAAAAAAAAAAAAAACAUGAAAAAUACAACAUUAAUAUAUCUUGAUUGCAUAAGUAUUCAACCCCCUGAAUAAAUUGGGGUUAUGUUAUGUUAAUAAUUUCUGGCAACAAUUACAGCUGUGAGUUUUUGGGUAAAUCUCUUAAGAGCUUUGCACACCUGGAUAAUACAAUAUUUGCACGUUAUUCUUAUUUUAAUUCUUUAAGCUCUGUCAAGUUGUUUGUUGAUCGUUGCUAGACAGCCAUUUUCAUGUCUGCCAUAGGUUUUAAGCCAAUUUAAGUCAAAACUAUAACUAGCCAACUCAGGAACAUUCAAGGUCGUCUUGGUAAGCUACUCCAGUGUAUAUUUUACAUUGUGUUUUAGGUUAGUGUCCUGCUGAAAGGUGAAUUUGUCUCUGAGUCUUAUGGAAAGCAGAUCGAACAAGCUUUUCCUCUAGGAUUUUGCCUGUGCUUAGCUCUAUUCCGUUUCUUUUUAUCCAAAAAAACCCUCCUUAGUCCUUGCCCAAUGACAAGCAUACCCACAACAUGAUGCAGCCACCACCAUGCUUGAAAAUAUUAAGACUGGUACUCAAUGAUGUGUUGUGUUAGAUUUGCUGCGAACAUAACACUUUAUAUUUAGGACAUAAAGUUAAUUUCUUUUCCACAUUUUUUUCAGUUUUACUUUGGUGCUUUAUUGCAAACAGGAUGCAUGUUUUAGCUUGUACAAAAUAAAAUAUUCUUUCUUCUUUUCACUCUGUAAUUUAGGUUAUUAUUGUGGAGUAACUACAAUGUUGUUGAUCCAUCCUCAGUUUUCGCCUAUCACGGUCAUUAAACUCUGUAACUGUUUCAAAGUCCCUGAGUGGUUUCCUUCCUCUCCGGCAACUGAGUUAGGAAGGAUGCCUGUAUUUUUGUAGUGACUGGGUGUAUUGAUUCACCAUCCAAACUGUAAUGAAUAACUUUACCAUACUAAAAGGUAUAUUCAAUAUCUGUCUUUAGGGAUAUUCAAUAUCUGUCUUUCACAUUUUUACCAAUCUACCAAUAGGUGCCUUUCUUUGCGAGGCAUUGGAAAACCUCCAACUUAUUAUGUGACUUGUUUACUUCUGAACUUAUUUAGGCUUGCCAUAACAAAUACUUAUUGACUCAAGACAUUUCAGCUUUUCAUUUUUUAUUAAUUUGCAAAAAUUUUGAACAUUUUGAGAAAAACAUUAUUCCACUUUGACAUUAUGGGGUAUUAUGUGUCGACCAAUGAUACAACAUCUCAAUUUAAUCAAUUUUAAAGGCUGUAGCACAACAAAAUAAAGAAAAAGUCAAGGGGUGUGAAUACUUUUUGAAGGCACUGUAUAUAUUUGUGUAUUUCAAGUAGCCAUUAGAGUUCCACACUUCCCUUAGGGCUUAGAACUCUACAAUGAUGAUACCAAUCACCAUAUCAAACCACUUGCCUAAUAAUGUGUAGCCCACUGCAGCUCAAAGAAAAUUGAGUAGUUACAGGUCAACUGUGUAUUAGCAUAUUGUUUGUGAAAUAAUUGUCACAACACAGAAUAACUAUUCCAACACAGUAGUAGCCUACUGUUUUUACAAAAUCACUAUUGGACUAGUGCUGAAUGCUCAUAGGCAGUUUUUGAAAAUGUCUUUAAUUUCUUCUCUUUUACCACAAGAUGGUACCACAAGAUGGGUGUUGAAAGUUACAUUUAAUGGCUGAACCACUUCACCUGCUGUGGACACUGUUCAAUAUUUGUUUUACUGUAACACCAGUUGGUUCAGCAUUAAUCUAAUUUACCAUUCUAAGGUACUAUGAGAAGUUCUAAGUUUCUCUUUUUGUUAUGGAUCCUUUUUUUUACGCAUUGUAUUUUCUCUACGUAAUGCACAUUUCUGUGAACAACAGACCAUAAAGUAAUAUCUCAUCUAAA